AGGAAACAACUGCUCUUUGUCAGAAAGACUCAAGAACAGCUCCCAGUAAAGUUCUACAUCACAAAUGAAUUGGAACAGUAGCUGGGCUAGGCUCUAGCUAUGGGUCAUGAAUGAUGGCUGAAAUAUUUCAUUGCCUUGUGCAUUUUUUUUUGUGAAACCCCUCAUGUACCAGUGUCUUCUGUGUGUCUUAGAUUUCAGAGUUAUUAAAGGGUUUAGCUGAGAGGAAAACAUCACCCAAUGAGAGCAUUCAUGCUAACAUCAGCCUCUCCAUCACAGAGCCAGGAACUUCUUACAACCAUGGGAACUUCAGAUCUAGAGCUGUCCUCCCUAAAAAACUCUGUCAGCUGUCCACGUGUCAGUAUGAGAGGCAAGAUCAUCUGAGAGAAAGCUUCAGUGCUCCGGUACUCGUUCUUGCCUGCAUCCCUGCAUCUCAGGCGGGACAAAAGCAACCCACGUUAUCAUUCCCAGAUCCAGUCCUCUUUGCACACCUGGUGGAAAAAUCAGAGAUCUUUGCCUCUGACUCAGAACAGCUUGAAAAGCAAGAGAUAUAUCCGUACAUCCUAGGAGUGCAGGCUUGGAGGAAACGGGAGCAACGUGAACCACAAUGUCUGCUGCCUAAACAGUUUCCCCAAACUGGGACAACCAACAAAUGGUUCUUCAAGGAUUUACUGGACCUCCAGAGGAAGCUGUUUUUGGGUGCCUCAAAGAAAUCUGGAGCCCUGAGGAAAUCUCAGACACCUUGGAAAACUUCACACCACCAGUCAGAAUGUUCUUCUUUAAUGCUUAGGAAAGUUCAAGACUGACAGAAGAAAUAAACUGCAAAUGAAACUAGCACUAACACUCAGUGGCAGAGUGGUCAUUGAGGCAAGAAAUGUAUAAUUACGUGUCAGAAUGGUACCAUGUUCCAUAAAGCAUUCUGAGACUUGAAAAGCAUAGUCCUAAUAAUAUGAAAUAUCCACUAAAAUCAUUAUUAGAUAUGCAGGGAAUAAAGUUAGAUAUUUUUUUCACCCAAAAAGUAAAAAUAAAAUAUGCAGAUUUAUAAAGACAUCUCAGCACAAACAUGUUUCUUAUUGUUU
Long non-coding RNA from Astatotilapia calliptera (eastern happy), 1076 nucleotides. Lineage: Eukaryota; Metazoa; Chordata; Actinopteri; Cichliformes; Cichlidae. The record is from Ensembl.